ACGGUUUUCCAAUGAUUAACUAUUUGAUUAUUUUUAUUUUUAACCUUUGCAAAUUUAUUUGAACUUUUAACAUGACUUACUUAGCCAAACUUUGCAAAUUUGAGAUAUUAAUCCUUUAAGAUUCCGUCUUAGUUAAACUUUCUAAGCCUUAACUCUCUAAGCAGACCUUCAAAUUUUAAACCUCUAUCGUUUCAAAACUUCAAUUUUUUAUUUUUUAGUUUGAUAAAGCAAAAGGCGUUCGAUGAGGGGGUUUGGAGUUUUUCUAACUCUAAAACUAACGACAAUUCAAACAAACGCACAAACAAGUAAUAAAGAGAGAGAGAGAGAUUUGGGUCCAAGUUUUCGGGUUCUGUUCGUCUUGACCGAAACUUGGACCCACCUGCUUUUGGGUUUUUUAACCCAUUUCUUUCUUUCGUACCUGUCCUAGUCUAAACAUACAAGAAUAAAUAUACGGAAAGUAAAAAUGACAAGGGCUUAUACCCAAAAUAAAUACAACUUUAUAAAUAAAUAAUAAUAAAAAAAUCUUCUAAUACUCCUUCCUUGAGCACCUUCGAUCUUCAUGAAGUUCGAAUUUUCGCACGCCUGCUGCCAUUCAUAUUUUUACACCUAUUUAAGGUAUAACGUUUCUGUAUAUCAGUGUAUACAGGCUGUAUAUCAGCCUGUUUUUCAACUUUCGAGAGUUGAAAAAUUCUUUUCAGCAGCUUACUUUACUGCCAUCAACCCAGGUUUCGAACUAGGCCUCCUGUACAUCUUUUGAUAUGUAUAUCACGGUAUAAACUGUGUAUAUGGUUGGUAUACAGCUUCUCAAUAUAUGCCACUGUAAUUUCCAGCAAUUUUCCAAGUUCUGGUGAACCAGAAUCAAUCUCCAGCAGUGCAUUUUCUGCUGUUCUUCCGACCUGUACACCUUUGAGAGGGUUCUAUGACUCGAAGAAGACAUUCUGAGCCUUUAUGGCUCGAUGAGGAAGUGUAGUGAGAUGGAAUAAAGUCCAUGAGGACUCGAGGAGGGUUUCACAUGCAAUAAAACAUACAAAAGAUUAGCACUUAAAGCGAUAAACUAAUAGAAAGUGUCUUGAACAAGACGAAGAUAAAAGAUGAACUACUUGGAGAAAUGAGUUAGAGGGGGGAUAAAUGACUUCAAAAAUAAUUCCGAAUGAUAUUAAGAAAUAAAAUCUCACAACAAGUAGGAUAAAUAACAGGGGCAAGCAAUGCAUGUACACAUAUUAAUGAAUUUGUCAUCUGCAUGAGGAUGCACUACUGCUGUUUAGUAAAUGCAAAGUAAACAUGCCAUACUUCAUUGGUACAGCAUAUCCAAUUGGCAAGACAUGAUGAUGCUAAAUACGAAAAAUACUUAUUUCCAAAUUACCGUAUCACACAUAAACACAAAACAUACAUGUGGAAUGCAAAGAGAGAAGCAUAUGGAAGGACUGUGCGUUCAUGAAAUUUUCUAACGGAGAACACCGCCAUGAACAACCAUGCCUUUAGCUGGAAAAAAAUGAACUAAAACUCAACCUUAAAACAUUCCGAAAUAAAUUCGACUAUCACAAACUAUUGGGAGAUGAGAAAGAACCUCAUUCGCAUUUCAACAAACACACAAGAAUACAUCACAUUUGGAAAAGUUGAACAGACUCCUUCAGCAGCCAUGAAACGAAAAGCGAGAACAACAACAACAACACAAUCAAAGGUAGCGACUUCGCGAUCGAAACAACAUGCUAAGUUGAAAAGACGAGGAAAACUUGAGAAGACGAUUACGAUCAAAGGGAGAAAUGCAACUGUUUAUCGAAGACAUUUCAGACGCAGACUAUACAAAAUUUGCACCCCAUACUCCCAAAACUGGAAAACGUCGACUCGGACUACAACCAAACUAACAGCAAAACUAUAGAAGAAAGGCAAUACGCAAUGACAGACUUCGAGUCACAACCAAAUGUCAGCCAACCACAUACAAGCAACAAUCGAGCGAAAAAAACGAGUCAUAAACAAAAUAAGGGUCGAUUCUCACCCCUUUUUAUGCAGCAAACGGCAACGACGAGUGAGGUAACGAGCUUCCACCACCAAAUGAGCUCAAAGCUGUAUUGAAAACGACCCGACGAGCAAAGGGAACAGGAUCGUGACUUCAGUCUCCUGAGUUGCGCGACUCUUUCCCUCUCUUCAAUUUUUCGCUCAAUCGUCCAACCAAAUUUCUAACUCCCAACACUCUUCCAGAUUUUUCUCUCUCAAAUUUCAACAAAAUUCCAACCUUAAAAUCAAAUCCCCAAUGUUUUCUAGCUACAGACAGAAAAGAACCAGAAUAUUUCGAUAAUUUUCGUACUCUUAGUGAUAAAUUCUCCAAUUCUCCCGAAUGUCUCCCCCUUUCGGAUGAAGAGAAAUGGGUUUUUAUAGAGGAGAGGAAUUAGCCCCUCCCCUUUGAAUUCAAAAAUUUUCAAAUCUAUUUUGGGUCAAACCCCACAUGGCCAGGCGUGUUGGAGAGGAUGAAAUUGACACCUCGCAGACCUACUCGACAGCGUAUGGGUCUCUGCGCUUCCGUUUGGUUCACGCGAAGAGAAAAGAUGGAAGGAGAAGAGCGUGGGGUUGUUGGCGAGUCGCGUCUGAGUUUUCUGGGUUUUUGUCGAGAGGGGAAGGAGAGAGUGAGCGUGGAGGAGACGUGAGGGUUGAGGGAAAGAGCACGGGGAGAGACGCGAGGGGAGAUCGCGUGAGGUUGCUGGCGUUUUUUUUUUCUCUGAAAAACGCGUGAUUUCUGGGGAAUUAUUU
This 2745-nucleotide long non-coding RNA is filed under the name Solanum lycopersicum (tomato). RNAcentral describes it as "partial TCONS_00152045". The record is from RNAcentral. Lineage: Eukaryota; Viridiplantae; Streptophyta; Magnoliopsida; Solanales; Solanaceae.